Papio anubis (olive baboon) is the source of this 148-nucleotide unclassified non-coding RNA. It matches the Rfam family "Metazoan signal recognition particle RNA". From Rfam's summary of the family: The signal recognition particle (SRP) is a universally conserved ribonucleoprotein. It is involved in the co-translational targeting of proteins to membranes. The record is from Ensembl. Lineage: Eukaryota; Metazoa; Chordata; Mammalia; Primates; Cercopithecidae.
GCUGGGCGUGGUGGCGGGCGCCUGUAAUCCCAGCUACUCAGGAGGCUGAGGCACAAGAAUCGCUUGAACCCAGGAGGCGGAGGUUGCAGUGAGCCGAGAUCAUGCCACUGCACUCCAGCCUGGGCAACAGAGCGAGACUGUGUCUAAA